RNAcentral lists this ribosomal RNA (351 nucleotides) under Triticum aestivum (bread wheat). RNAcentral's name for it is "partial small subunit ribosomal RNA". Lineage: Eukaryota; Viridiplantae; Streptophyta; Magnoliopsida; Poales; Poaceae. The record is from RNAcentral.
CGGCUUAGAUUAGUGCACCUGCAGUUCCUCAUCGAUAGAAUUAGGGCUGGGUUAGCAGGAUGGAAAGGCCAGCUGCUCCCUUUUGCUAGCAGAAGAGUGUUGGUCCGGAGCGUCCUCAGCGCGAUGCCCACCUUUGCCCUCUCAGUGCUGCGAGUACCACCAAAGCUGCUCAAGGAUAUUGACAAGUGCAGGAGGAGAUUCCUUUGGAAGCAGGAGGAGGCGAUAAAAGGGGCGAGCUGCAAGGUAAACUGGCCAACGGUGUGUACUCCAACUGAGACGGGUGGACUCGGGAUCCUGGACCUUCAAAGUCUGAGCCGAUCCCUCCGGCUACGUUGGCUAUGGAUUGCAUGA